Non-coding RNA from Danio rerio (zebrafish), 122 nucleotides. Lineage: Eukaryota; Metazoa; Chordata; Actinopteri; Cypriniformes; Danionidae. The record is from Rfam.
UCCGGUAGCGUUAAGCUAGCUCUCUGCAACUCUCACAUGGUCGCCCACUGAAGCUAAGCAGGGCUGCGCCCGGUCAGUACCUGGAAGGGAGACCACAUGGGAAAGCUAGGUUGCUGCCGGAA